Molecule: ribosomal RNA, 938 nt
Filed under: uncultured bacterium
Lineage: Bacteria
Description: bacterial SSU rRNA
Rfam family: Bacterial small subunit ribosomal RNA
Source: RNAcentral
UUAGAGUUUGAUCCUGGCUCAGGAUGAACGCUAGCGGCAGGCCUAAUACAUGCAAGUCGCACGAGAAGCUUCCUUCGGGAAGUGGAGAGUGGCGGACGGGUGCGUAACGCGUAUCCAACCUGCCCUUCAGCGGGGAAUAACAUUGGGAAACCGAUGCUAAUACCGCAUAUAUUGUAAGCUGGGCAUCCAGUUAACAAGAAAGACGCGAGUCACUGAAGGAUGGGGAUGCGUUUGAUUAGCUAGUUGGAGAGGUAACGGCUCCCCAAGGCAACGAUCAAUAGCUGGUCUGAGAGGAUGAUCAGCCACACUGGCACUGAGACACGGGCCAGACUCCUACGGGAGGCAGCAGUAGGGAAUAUUGGGCAAUGGGCGCAAGCCUGACCCAGCCAUGCCGCGUGCGGGACGACGGUCCACAGGAUUGUAAACCGCUUUUCUACGGGAAUAAGGACUUGGUAUCCAGGUUCUGCAGGUACCGUAGGAAUAAGCACCGGCAAACUACGUGCCAGCAGCCGCGGUAAUACGUAGGGUGCAAGCGUUGUCCGGAUUCACUGGGUUUAAAGGGUACGCAGGCGGCUUGGCCAGUCGGCGAUGAAAUAUCGGAGCUUAACUCCGGUGCUGUUGCCGAUACUGCCAGGCUAGAGCGUGGUUGAGGUAGCUGGAAUGGACGGUGUAGCGGUGAAAUGCGUAGAGAUCGUCUGGAACACCAAUUGUGAAGACAGGCUACUGGACCACAGCUGACGCUGAGGUACGAAAGCGUGGGGAGCGAACAGGAUUAGAUACCCUGGUAGUCCACGCUGUAAACGAUGAUUACUCGCUUUGUAUUCACUUGAGGAUACGAGGCUGAGCGAAGCGUUAAGUAAUCCACCUGGGGAGUACGCUCGCAGGGUGAACUCAAAGGAUUGACGGGGCCCGCACAGUGGUGGAGCAUGUGGUUAAUC